This 913-nucleotide ribosomal RNA is filed under the name uncultured bacterium. Its description in RNAcentral is "bacterial SSU rRNA". It matches the Rfam family "Bacterial small subunit ribosomal RNA", at positions 8 to 916 of the family's 1533-position model. The record is from RNAcentral.
AGAGUUUGAUCAUGGCUCAGGAUGAACGCUAGCGGGAGGCUUAACACAUGCAAGUCGAGGGGCAGCAUAGGGUAGCAAUACUCUGAUGGCGACCGGCAAACGGGUGAGUAACGCGUAUGCAACCUACCCUGUACAGGGGGAUAACCCGGAGAAAUUCGGACUAAUAUCCCGUAAUAAUAUCCGGAGGCAUCUUUGGAUAUUUAAAGUUCCGACGGUACGGGAUGGGCAUGCGUAACAUUAGCUGGUUGGUAAGGUAACGGCUUACCAAGGCUAUGAUGUUUAGGGGUCCUGAGAGGGUGGUCCCCCACACUGGUACUGAGACACGGACCAGACUCCUACGGGAGGCAGCAGUGAGGAAUAUUGGUCAAUGGGCGCAAGCCUGAACCAGCCAUCCCGCGUGCAGGAAGACGGCCCUAUGGGUUGUAAACUGCUUUUCCAGGGAGAGAAACUUACGCACGUGUUGCGUGACUGACGGUACCCUGGGAAUAAGCAUCGGCUAACUCCGUGCCAGCAGCCGCGGUAAUACGGAGGAUGCAAGCGUUAUCCGGAUUCAUUGGGUUUAAAGGGUGCGUAGGCGGGCUAUUAAGUCAGUGGUGAAAUCCUGCAGCUUAACUGCAGAACUGCCGUUGAUACUGAUAGUCUUGAGUUUGGUUAAGGUAGGCGGAAUGUGUAAUGUAGCGGUGAAAUGCUUAGAUAUUACACAGAACACCAAUUGCGUAGGCAGCUUACUGAGCCGACACUGACGCUGAGGCACGAAAGCGUGGGGAUCAAACAGGAUUAGGUACCCUGGUAGUCCACGCCGUAAACGAUGAUUACUCGCUGUUGGCGAUACACUGUCAGCGGCUAAGCAAAAGCAAUAAGUAAUCCACCUGGGGAGUACGGCCGCAAGGUUGAAACUCAAAUGAAUUGACGG